This 208-nucleotide unclassified non-coding RNA is filed under the name Hevea brasiliensis (rubber tree). The record is from RNAcentral. Lineage: Eukaryota; Viridiplantae; Streptophyta; Magnoliopsida; Malpighiales; Euphorbiaceae.
GCUAAAUUGCAACCACCAACAAAGAAAUUAUUGAAAGAAACCGAACUCUUGCAGAAUUCGUUAGAGAUUUGGGAUUUUUUUUCUAUCUUUUUGAGAGAUUCGUAGAUCGAAUAUCAACGAAGAUGAAUAUUUUCAGAUUAGCGGGUGAUAUGACUCACCUUGCCAGCGUUCUCGUCUUACUCCUCAAGAUCCACACCAUCAAAUCCUG